GACGAACGCUGGCGGCGUGCUUUAGGCAUGCAAGUCGAACGCGAAAGCCCCUUCGGGGGUGAGUAGAGUGGCGAACGGGUGAGUAACACGUGGGUAACCUGCCCCUCGCAGGGGGAUAACCGGGGGGAACCCCGGCUAAUACCCCGUACGCUUGCUGGGGCGCAUGCUCCGGCAAGGAAAGGUAGCUUCGGCCAUCCGGCGAGGGAGGGGCCCGCGGCCCAUUAGCUAGUUGGUGGGGUAAAGGCCCACCAAGGCGACGAUGGGAAGCUGGCCUGAGAGGGGGGUCAGCCGCACUGGGACGGAGACACGGCCCAGACUCCAACGGGAGGCAGCAGCCAGGAAUCUUGCGCAAUGGGCGAAGGCCUGACGCAGCAACGCCGCGUGGGCGAUGAAGGCCUUCGGGUCGUAAAGCCCUGUUGUCGGGGACGAAGGGCGAAGGGUUAAUAGCCCCUAGCCUGACGGUACCCGACGAGGAAGCCCCGGCUAACUACGUGCCAGCAGCCGCCGUAA
This 510-nucleotide ribosomal RNA is filed under the name uncultured bacterium. Its description in RNAcentral is "partial 16S ribosomal RNA". It matches the Rfam family "Bacterial small subunit ribosomal RNA", at positions 28 to 523 of the family's 1533-position model. The record is from RNAcentral.